AAUAAUCUUAAGGGUUGAAAAUAAUCUAUGUGAGGUGUUCCUAACAAUCCAAGUGUAUGCAUAUGAUGAGAUGACCUAAGGGUGGAGUUUAGGGAGAAAAUAGAAAUAAGGGGGGGGGGGGUUAGGAGAUUAGGGUUCCAAACCUUGGGUUGAGAUUUUGGGAUGUUACAAACCUACCCCACUUAAAGGAAUCUCGCCCUCGAGAUUUAGACUGGAUUUGAGAAAAGAUAAGGGUAUUCCCUCCUCAAGGAGUCCUCACUCUCCGAGGUAGUUUCCUCUUCUCCUUCUCUGCUCCACUGAACUUUACAGAGUUUCACUUCUGAGGUACGUGUAUUCCAGACUGCUGAAUCAAGGAUCUUUACUGGCUUCUCACGGUACUGAAGAUCUUUCUGAAUCUGCACUACCUCUUCUUCGAUGUGACUUUCUGGUGCUUGCAGGCAUUUGCGGAGCUGGGAUACGUGAAACACAUUGUGGAUGUCAGACAUGGAUUCUGGUAGUUCAAGACGGUAUGCUGUGGGUCCCACUCUGCCAAUGAUGGGAUAGGGACCGACGAAUCGCGGUGCUAGCUUUCCUUUUACUUGGAACCUUCUGACACCACGCAUCGGGGAGACCUUGAGGUAGACAAAGUCUCCUUCCUCAAAUCUGAGUUCUCUCCGCCUGUUGUCCGCAUAACUCUUCUGCUGACUCUGAGCUUCAAGUAAUCUUCUGCGGAUCAGGACAACUUUCUCCUCAGCCUCUUUGACAAAGGCAUGCCCUUCCAGUGCCUUUUCCCCUACGUUGGACCACAUGAGAGGGGUCUGGCAUUUUCGUCCAUACAAUGCUUCGAACGGUGACAUCUUGAUGCUGGCCUGAUAGCUGUUAUUAUACGAGAACUUCGCAUAGGGCAAACUGGAUUCCCAACUUCUAUCGAAUGCUAGCACACAGGCUCUUAAUAGAUCUUCGAGGACCUUGUUGACUCUUUCUGUCUGCCCGUCUGUCUGAGGGUGAUAGGCGGUGCUAAAAUCUAGCUUGGUGCCCAUAGCUUUCUGAAGGCUUGUCCAGAAUUUGGAGGUGAACUGGGUUCUUGUGUCUGACACUAUCUUUCUUGGAAUGCCAUGGAGUCUGACUAUCUCUUUGAGAUAAAUUCGGGCAAGGGUGGCUCCUCCAAAGGUAGUUUUCACUAGGAUGAAAUGGGCUACCUUGGUGAGGCGAUCUAUUAUUACCCAGAUGGAGUCAUUCCCUUUUUGCGUCCGGGGUAGUCCGGUUACAAAAUCCAUGCCUAUUUCUUCCCAUUUCCAUUCCGGCACUGGGAGGGGUUGCAAUAGGCCUGCAGGUUUUUGGUGCUCGGCCUUCGUUCGUUGGCAGGUGUCACACCAGGCCACAUACUGUGCUAUCUCUUUCUUCAUUCCUCUCCACCAGUAUCUGGUUUUGAGGUCUAGGUACAUCUUGGUAGUUCCUGGGUGGAUGGAGUAGGCUGAGUUGUGAGCUUCCUCGAGCAGGACUUCUCAUGCCUCUCCUUUUGGUACACACAGACGAUUCUUGAACCAAAGGGCUCCUUGUUCAUAUGUCCUGAGGUCCGGGAGUUGUUCCUUGCGAGCUUUUUCCACAAGUCUUGCUGUCUCUGAGUCUAGGCGUUGAGCUUUGCAUAUGAGGUCUUCUAGCAUUGGUUUGACUUCGAGACUGCCGUUGUUUCCCAAACAUGCAUUCAGUUGAGCUGAUUCCUUCUUCCAAUCUUCUAAAAAGUUGGUUCCCUUUAUUUCGAAAGGUUUUCGGCUGAGGGCGUCUGCUACCACGUUGGCCUUUCCGGGGUGGUAAUGAAUCUCAAGGUCAUAGUCUUUGAUCAGUUCCAACCAUCUUUGUUGACGGAGAUUGAGAUCUGGCUGAGUGAAGAUAUACCUCAGACUCUUGUGAUCGGUGAAGAUGUGACAUUUGUUCCCAAUUAGGUAAUGCCUCCAUAUCUUCAAAGCAUGCACUAUGGAUGCCAAUUCCAAAUCAUGGGUGGGAUAAUUCUGCUCAUGUGACUUAAGUAGGCGCGAUGCAUAAGCAAUGACUUCCUCGUUUUGCAUCAGCACACACCCUAAGCCUUGCCUCGAGGCAUCACAGAAGACGACGAAAUCCUGAUGUAUAUCUGGUAGUGUCAAAACGGGUGCGGUCGUGAGCUUAUCCUUUAUGAUCUGAAAACUUCCUUCACAUUUUGGGGUCCACACAAACUUAUGGUCUUUCUUGAGGAGCUCGGUCAUAGGUCUUGCUAUGCUGGAGAAUCCCUUGAUAAAGCGGCGGUAAUAUCCUGCCAUUCCCAGAAAGCUUCGAACUUCACUGACGUUGGAUGGCUGCCUCCAUUUUGAUACUGCUUCCACCUUGGAAGGGUCUACUUCUAUUCCUUCCGCGGUCAAGAUAUGCCCAAGGAAGGCUAUCUUUUCCAACCAGAAUUCACAUUUACUGAGUUUAGCAUAAAGUUGGUGUGCCCUGAGUUUUCCGAGGACGGUCCGAAGGUGACGCUUAUGGUCUUCGCGGUUCUUGGAGUAGAUAAGGAUGUCGUCAAUGAAGACCACGACAAACUUAUCCAGCUCUUACAUAAACACUUUGUUCAUGAGGUUCAUGAAAAAGGCGGGUGCGUUUGUCAGUCCGAAAGGCAUCACUGUGAAUUCAUAUUGUCCGUACCGGGUGACAAAUGCAGUCUUCUGGAUAUCUGCUUCCUUGAUUCUCAAUUGGUGCUAACCAGACCUUAGGUCUAUUUUGGAGAAGUAUUUGGCCCCUUGAAGUUGAUCGAAGAGGUCGUCGAUCCGAGGAAGUGGAUACUUGUUCUUGAUGGUGACUUCAUUUAACGAUCGGUAAUCAAUACACAUCCUCAUACUUCCAUCUUUCUUAGAGAUGAAAAGGACUGGUGCUCCCCAAGGGGAUGAGCUGGGACGAAUGUACCCUUUUUGUUGAAGAUCUGCGAUUUGGAGCUUCAAUUCUGCUAACUCGGUAGGAGCCAUGCGGUAUGGUCUCUUUGCGAUGGGUGUCGUUCUAGGAAUCAGAUCUAUGUAGAAUUCCACUUCUCUUUCUGGUGGCAUUCCUGGUAACUCUUCUGGGAACACAUCCAUGAAUUCUUCUACCACUGAUAUGUUUUCUGUUGCUAGAUUAAACAUCAUUGGAUCAUUGGCGGGUGGCUGAGCCUGACAAGAGACUGACUUUCCUUGGUGGUCUGUGAGAAGGACUGUCUUGUUUGCGCAACUGAUGAUACCUUUGUGUUUGGUCAACCAAUCCAUCCCUAAGAUCACAUCAAUCCCUUGGGAUGGCAAGACGGUUAAGUCUGCCAAGAACACUACCCCACUUAAAAGGAUUCUGACUUGGGAGCAUUUGAGCUGACAUAAAAGGUCUGACCCUAGGGUCCGGGUGACCAAGGGAAUCUCUAGAGGGGUAGAGGGAAUGCCAUGCUUUUCCACAAAACUAGUGGCUAUAAAAGAAUGGGAUGCUCCUGAAUCGAAAAGUACAUGUAGUGAAGGAUGACAAACCGGUCCUUAUACGAGAGGACAAUCCUUCUGCUCACGCCUAAACCAGCUGAGCCAUCACCUUAGGCCCUCUCCUAAACCAGGGAGUCCCUGAUCAUCCUACUCACCAGGUGAUGAGGGUGAAUACCCUUCAUCGCACACUUUUUGGAAAACAUCGUUGUUCAUACCCUUUUCUUAUCCCAUAUCUUGUGAUCAAAAGGUAUUAGUUAAUGCGGGCUCUCUCAUGUACACCAUGCAAAUAGAUUCCAUCCCUUAAUUUCGGCUUAGGUAGUGGUAGAGAGAAAUAGGUAAAUUAUGCAUCAAGGGAAGGAUGAACUUGCUUUCGUCGAAGCUUUCCUGGCACAAAAGAAAAAGGGAAUUCCUGCUUGCUGGGCCGGGGGGAGAUUUCGACCCACCCGGGCGCGAGCGCGCGCGCGCAAGCGCUGCAGGCGGCCCAGUCGUCCCAUCAGCGAGGGAGACGACAGGGAACGGCGUCGUGGCAUGGGCCCACAUGUCAGCGAGGGAAGGGGGUUUUAACGGUGCGGAGCGGCGACGGAGGGGGGGCGAACCGGUCGGCUCGACCGCCGGCGAUGCCCGCGACGGUUCUCCGUCGUGGGUCCGGUUCUGUGGCGGGGGAGCGGUGGCGAGGCACGGGCGGUGGUAGGGGGUCACGGGGAUGGGGUCAAUUCGACCGGUGGAGGCCUAGGGUUGCCGGUCCACGGCACGGUGGCAGGUGCUCGCGGCGGUGAGGUAGCCAGUGAGGCAGCCGAGCGCAAUAGGAGGUGGGGAGAGGUGUCUUGCAAUCGUGAGUGUGUGGUGGAGCUCAAGCACCAAAGUAAUUCGACCGAAGGCUACCAGAGAGGCGAGAACGGAGCUCAACGGAGUGACAGGGGAACGCGGCGGCGCUAGCUCGAUUGGGCUCGGGGAGGAGUGGAGGAGAUGGUCGGGGCUGAUGUGGAGGAAACGGAGCUCGGGCGGUCCCUUUUAUAGGCGCCCGGGAGGGGGAAGGGAGGGAUGGGACGACGAGCGCCGACGAGCUUGCCAUGAUGGCGGGGAUGGAGCAAACGGCGACGAGAUGGCUCGGGCAGGCGAGGGGUGAGGGGACGGCUCGGGUACAGUGGCGGGGUGGUCGCUGAGGCCGGUGCGAGCGUUAAUGGCGAAGCGACGGGGCGUGAGGCGGUCGAUGGCGAAAUCGCCGGUGAUGGCAUGGGCGGGACGAUGGUCCUGACAGGCGGGCCCGGGAUACCAGUGGGAGAGCGGCGCGAGAGGGAGAGGGGUGGAGCCGCUGACCGGUGGGGCCGGGUUGUCAGGCGCGGCGUGGGCGCGCGCAGCUGGGUCGUUUGGGCCGUGGGAGGAGAGGGGGGGAAGAGCGGGUGCGGCGCGGUUUGGGCCAAAAUCGACCCAGCCGAGGGGGAAGGAUUUUUCUUUUUUUUCUUUUUCUGUUUUCUAUUUCAUUUUUCCAUUUUCUAUUUUUGUUUCUUUUUAUUUCCUUUUCUUUUGAAUCAACAAUUUGCUGAAUAAUCUUAAGGGUUGAAAAUAAUCUAUGUGAGGUGUUCCUAACAAUCCAAGUGUAUGCAUAUGAUGAGAUGACCUAAGGGUGGAGUUUAGGGAGAAAAAUAGAAAUAAGGGGGGGGGUUAGGAGAUUAGGGUUCCAAACCUUGGGUUGAGAUUUUGGGAUGUUACACUUGGUCCCUUGGGUGGAAACCCAAAGGAUCGAAUUGUUUGGUGCCUGUCCUGCUGCUGAGCUUGGAGGACUUGGAAUUUCCUCUUGAGGUGACCCUUUUCCAUU
Molecule: long non-coding RNA, 5241 nt
Filed under: Zea mays
Lineage: Eukaryota; Viridiplantae; Streptophyta; Magnoliopsida; Poales; Poaceae
Description: long non-coding RNA (ZMAY_LNC002947)
Source: RNAcentral